UAUAUACUUCUUCCGUCUAAUAAAAGAUGUCUCAAUUUUGACUAAAUUUGAAUACAUCUAUACACUAAGUCAUGUCUAGAUACAUUCAAAUUUUAACAAAUUUGAGACAUAUUUUGUUGGACGGAGAAAGUAAAAA
This is a non-coding RNA of Brachypodium distachyon (stiff brome), 136 nucleotides long. The record is from Rfam. Lineage: Eukaryota; Viridiplantae; Streptophyta; Magnoliopsida; Poales; Poaceae.